GUAGGGAAUCUUCCGCAAUGGACGCAAGUCUGACGGAGCAACGCCGCGUGAGUGAUGAAGGUUUUCGGAUCGUAAAGCUCUGUUGCCAGGGAAGAACGCUUGGGAGAGUAACUGCUCUCAAGGUGACGGUACCUGAGAAGAAAGCCCCGGCUAACUACGUGCCAGCAGCCGCGGUAAUACGUAGGGGGCAAGCGUUGUCCGGAAUUAUUGGGCGUAAAGCGCGCGCAGGCGGCUGAGUAAGUCUGAUGUUUAAACCCAGGGCUCAACCUUGGGUCGCAUUGGAAACUGCUUGGCUUGAGUGCAGAAGAGGAGAGUGGAAUUCCACGUGUAGCGGUGAAAUGCGUAGAGAUGUGGAGGAACACCAGUGGCGAAGGCGACUCUCUGGGCUGUAACUGACGCUGAGGCGCGAAAGCGUGGGGAGCAAACAGG
This 429-nucleotide ribosomal RNA is filed under the name bacterium. Its description in RNAcentral is "bacterial SSU rRNA". It matches the Rfam family "Bacterial small subunit ribosomal RNA", at positions 354 to 776 of the family's 1533-position model. The record is from RNAcentral.